CCUUUCAAGCCAGUAUGCUGC
RNAcentral lists this non-coding RNA (21 nucleotides) under Arabidopsis thaliana (thale cress). The record is from RNAcentral. Lineage: Eukaryota; Viridiplantae; Streptophyta; Magnoliopsida; Brassicales; Brassicaceae.